This 457-nucleotide ribosomal RNA is filed under the name uncultured Bacteroidota bacterium. Its description in RNAcentral is "bacterial SSU rRNA". It matches the Rfam family "Bacterial small subunit ribosomal RNA", at positions 70 to 524 of the family's 1533-position model. The record is from RNAcentral. Lineage: Bacteria; Pseudomonadati; Bacteroidota.
CAGCACGGGAGCAAUCCUGGUGGCGAGUGGCNCACGGGUGCGUAACGCGUAUGCAAUCUACCUAUAACUGGGGAAUAGCCUUCCGAAAGGAAGAUUAACACCGCAUAAUAUCACGAAACGGCAUCGCUUUGUGAUCAAAACUCCGGUGGUUAUAGAUGAGCAUGCGUGACAUUAGCUAGUUGGUGAGGUAACGGCCCACCAAGGCUACGAUGUCUAGGGGGUCUGAGAGGAUGACCCCCCACACUGGUACUGAGACACGGACCAGACUCCUACGGGAGGCAGCAGUAAGGAAUAUUGGACAAUGGGCGCAAGCCUGAUCCAGCCAUGCCGCGUGCAGGAUGAAGGUGCUCUGCAUUGUAAACUGCUUUUGUUUGGGAAUAAACCCUUCUACGUGUAGAGGGCUGAAUGUACCAAAAGAAUAAGGGACGGCUAACUUCGUGCCAGCAGCCGCGGUAAU